GAUGAACGCUGGCUACAGGCUUAACACAUGCAAGUCGAGGGGAAACGACGGGGAAGCUUGCUUCCCCGGGCGUCGACCGGCGCACGGGUGAGUAACGCGUAUCCAACCUGCCUCUGACUGAGGGAUAACCCGUCGAAAGUCGGCCUAAUACCUCAUGGUAUCGUCUGCGGGCAUCCAACGACGAUUAAAGAUUUCAUCGGUCAGGGAUGGGGAUGCGUCUGAUUAGCUUGUUGGCGGGGUAACGGCCCACCAAGGCUACGAUCAGUAGGGGUUCUGAGAGGAAGGUCCCCCACAUUGGAACUGAGACACGGUCCAAACUCCUACGGGAGGCAGCAGUGAGGAAUAUUGGUCAAUGGGCGAGAGCCUGAACCAGCCAAGUAGCGUGCAGGAAGACGGCCCUAUGGGUUGUAAACUGCUUUUAUGCGGGGAUAAAGUGAGGGACGUGUCCCUCAUUGCAGGUACCGCAUGAAUAAGGACCGGCUAAUUCCGUGCCAGCAGCCGCGGUAAUACGGAAGGUCCUGGCGUUAUCCGGAUUUAUUGGGUUUAAAGGGAGCGUAGGCCGUGGAUUAAGCGUGUUGUGAAAUGCAGGUGCUCAACGUCUGCACUGCAGCGCGAACUGGUCCACUUGAGUGUGCGCAACGCAGGCGGAAUUCGUCGUGUAGCGGUGAAAUGCUUAGAUAUGACGAAGAACUCCGAUUGCGAAGGCAGCUUGCGGGAGCACAACUGACGCUGAAGCUCGAAAGUGCGGGUAUCGAACAGG
Molecule: ribosomal RNA, 760 nt
Filed under: uncultured Prevotella sp.
Lineage: Bacteria; Pseudomonadati; Bacteroidota; Bacteroidia; Bacteroidales; Prevotellaceae
Description: bacterial SSU rRNA
Rfam family: Bacterial small subunit ribosomal RNA
Source: RNAcentral